Small nucleolar RNA from Lotus japonicus, 221 nucleotides. RefSeq annotates it as small nucleolar RNA U3. The record is from RefSeq and is a predicted model, not a curated record. The transcript has a single exon. Lineage: Eukaryota; Viridiplantae; Streptophyta; Magnoliopsida; Fabales; Fabaceae.
AUGACCUUACUUGAAUAAGAUCUGUUCUAUAGGCUCGUACAACUGUAUCCUUAAGAUCUAAGGAGACAGGAACCUAAGCCUGGUUGAUGAAUCAUGACCGUGUGAUCAAAGCGCGAUUAACAGCUCACUGAUUAGCCUUCGGGUUUCAUCAGAUGGACGACAUAGGAUCGUUCUCAGCUAGUUUGACUAGCUAUGGUGGUCACAUGGUUGUCUGGCAGACU